UUUGACUGGUACUGUAUUUCAACCAAAGUGCUGUCAACGUUGUUCCUAGGGCAACUCUGCCCUGGGGAUAGAAGGAAUAUGUUUGGCUUGCUCAAAGGUCAAUUGUUGGAUUUACCAGAUUCAGUUAUCGCAUUUGCAUCACUAUUGCUUGCUACUACGAAUCUAACAACGGGAAAUGGAGGGUGUAUGGUUGAGAGGAGUUGAAAAGCGUCUUAAAAAAGAGAAAGAUGAGAGGCGUGAACAUGAGGUUGUCCUUUUUGAUGGAGAUGAGGAAUUUUUGAGAAUGUACAUAGAGAAGGUUCAAACAGAAACCAAAACAUAAUUCAAAGCAGUUCACUCUCUCAGUAAUGAAUACUUCCACUAUUCAUGUGAAUGAAGCAGCAAGCCAAUAGGGUGAAGCAUAGGAAAACCAUGUGACACUAGGGAUAAUUGGUGUGGGGCCUAUGUUUCUUUUAAAAUUGUUAGGGACACUGGUUUUAAAGGUGCUGUCGUACACAAAAUGGUAGAACACAUUGGACAUGACUAUGCUGACGCAAAACAGGGGGUUGUCACCGCAUUGAUCCUGAGCUUCUGUCCUUUGUGGAGUUGUGGCUUUCUCAAGGAUGCUCUAUAUCAGAGGUGCUUGUGAAGAUUUGUGAUCGGGCUAUGAGUAAAGGACACGGCAACAAACGACACCCGGUAUUACUUUCAAGCCCCUAAAGAUGUUCGCAACAUCAAAUGAAGCUUGAAAGCCUUAUCAGUCCUUGAUGUGAAAGAGAACACCAGUGUAGAAAAGCUAGUCAAUUCUGAUCUGAAGGACAACAUUCUAAUCUAUCAUCCUCUCUGUAAUGUAUCUAAGCAGCAUCUGAUGAUAGUUGUCCAAAGAAAAUGGCCAAAACAACAACUACAAGAGAUCCCACAUCCCAUGGUAUUUCUGGAUGCCACUAACCUAUGGUUAUGCGUUCUAUGCUAUCCUUACCAUCAAGCAUAGUGGUAGAGGACUUCAUAUAGCAUGUUUAAUUCUGAGGAAAAAACUGACACUCUAGGGGAGGUAUUUAGAGAAAUUACGGCAGGCCAAUCCAUGCAUAAUUCCCAGUCAA
RNAcentral lists this long non-coding RNA (1079 nucleotides) under Salmo salar (Atlantic salmon). RNAcentral's name for it is "lncRNA (ENSSSAG00000081838.1)". The record is from RNAcentral. Lineage: Eukaryota; Metazoa; Chordata; Actinopteri; Salmoniformes; Salmonidae.